GUCUACGGCCAUACCACGCUGAAUGCGCCCGAUCUCGUCUGAUCUCGGAAGCUAAGCAGGGUCGGGCCUGGUUAGUACUUGGAUGGGAAAAAUGGUGCUGAUAGACU
Non-coding RNA from Canis lupus familiaris (dog), 107 nucleotides. Lineage: Eukaryota; Metazoa; Chordata; Mammalia; Carnivora; Canidae. The record is from Rfam.